Molecule: ribosomal RNA, 213 nt
Filed under: Pinalitus oromii
Lineage: Eukaryota; Metazoa; Arthropoda; Insecta; Hemiptera; Miridae
Description: partial 16S ribosomal RNA
Source: RNAcentral
AUAUACUUUCUUUAUUUUAUAUAAAUNAAUUAAUUUUUUAGUUAAAAAGCUAAGAUUUUUUUAUAGGACGAGAAGACCCUAUAGAACUUUAUUUUCUANAUAUAUAUAUUUUAUAGAUUUUUAAAAUAUUAUAUAUUANUAGUUAAUUUAAUUGGGGUGAUUGAAAAAAUUAUAUAACUUUUUCUAUUUUUAUCAUUUAUUUAUGAUGUUUUU